GGUGCUUGCACCGGGUGGAUUAGUGGCGAACGGGUGAGUAUCACGUGAGUAACCUGCCCUUGACUCUGGGAUAAGCCUGGGAAACUGGGUCUAAUACCGGAUACGACCAGUCACCGCAUGGUGUGCUGGUGGAAAGCUUUAGCGGUUUUGGAUGGACUCGCGGCCUAUCAGCUAGACGGUGAGGUAAUGGCUCACCGUGGCGAUGACGGGUAGCCGGCCUGAGAGGGUGACCGGCCACACUGGGACUGAGACACGGCCCAGACUCCUACGGGAGGCAGCAGUGGGGAAUAUUGCACAAUGGGCGAAAGCCUGAUGCAGCGACGCCGCGUGUGGGAUGACGGCCUUCGGGUUGUAAACCACUUUCAGCAGGGAAGAAGCUUUUUGUGACGGUACCUGCAGAAGAAGCGCCGGCUAACUACGUGCCAGCAGCCGCGGUAAUACGUAGGGCGCGAGCGUUAUCCGGAAUUAUUGGGCGUAAAGAGCUCGUAGGCGGUUUGUCGCGUCUGCUGUGAAAGCCCGGGGCUUAACCCCGGGUGUGCAGUGGGUACGGGCAGGCUAGAGUGCAGUAGGGGAGACUGGAAUUCCUGGUGUAGCGGUGAAAUGCGCAGAUAUCAGGAGGAACACCGAUGGCGAAGGCAGGUCUCUGGGCUGUUACUGACGCUGAGGAGCGAAAGCAUGGGGAGCGAACAGGAUUAGAUACCCUGGUAGUCCAUGCCGUAAACGUUGGGCA
RNAcentral lists this ribosomal RNA (730 nucleotides) under bacterium SCSIO13327. Its description in RNAcentral is "bacterial SSU rRNA". It matches the Rfam family "Bacterial small subunit ribosomal RNA", at positions 75 to 815 of the family's 1533-position model. The record is from RNAcentral.